GCCGCGAUUGCCUAGCGGACUUCAUUUCGCCCCAGCGACUGUUCCUCAUCAGUUUGCUCCACGUCUACCCUGUAGAUCCGAAUUUGUUUUAUACUAGCUUUAAGGACAAAUUCGGUUCUAGAGAGGUUUGUGUGGUUCAAUAUCCAUCGAAAAAGUGUUGCUGAUGGCAAGCGGAAAAGUGAUUUUAUAAAUAAGUUUUAAGGUCAGAAAUGCUGAUGUCAACAAAUUCGUGCAUAUGUAUUACUCUCUUGAUAAGAUUGGGUUCAUUUGUUUAAUUAAAUUAUUCAGCAUUCGCAAG
RNAcentral lists this unclassified non-coding RNA (298 nucleotides) under Drosophila melanogaster (fruit fly). RNAcentral describes it as "pri-miR-10 alternative polyA transcript 2". The stretch from base 59 to 134 matches the Rfam family "mir-10 microRNA precursor family". The record is from RNAcentral. Lineage: Eukaryota; Metazoa; Arthropoda; Insecta; Diptera; Drosophilidae.